GCUGGCGUAGCUUAAAGAAAGCAUAACACUGAAGAUGUUAAGACGGGACUUAACAAACCCCGACAGCA
RNAcentral lists this transfer RNA (68 nucleotides) under Clinocottus analis (woolly sculpin). RNAcentral describes it as "tRNA-Phe". It matches the Rfam family "tRNA". Rfam says of the family: Transfer RNA (tRNA) molecules are approximately 80 nucleotides in length. Their secondary structure includes four short double-helical elements and three loops (D, anti-codon, and T loops). Lineage: Eukaryota; Metazoa; Chordata; Actinopteri; Perciformes; Cottidae. The record is from RNAcentral.